RNAcentral lists this long non-coding RNA (1044 nucleotides) under Piliocolobus tephrosceles (Ugandan red Colobus). Its description in RNAcentral is "lncRNA (ENSPTEG00000012631.1)". Lineage: Eukaryota; Metazoa; Chordata; Mammalia; Primates; Cercopithecidae. The record is from RNAcentral.
CAAUAAUAACAAUAAUAACAAUAAUAAUAAUAAUAAUAAUAAAAUUAAACAACAAAAUAAAUCUAUUGAAAUUAAUAUUGAAGAAAAUAACUUUAAUAAAUAUGGUACUAUUAUAGAUACUGUAACUGAUACAUUUGAUCGUUAUGUUGAUACAAAUGUACCUGUUGUAGCUAAUAAUAAUAUAUUAGAAACAAAAGACAUAAAUUUAAAUAACCCAUUAUUACAAAACAACCUGAACGUUAAUAAUAUUGAUAAUAGUGGUAGCAAUAACAGUAAUAACAUUAAUGAUUAUAAUUAUAAUAAAAAAAAUAGUUCAUUAGAUAUACAUAGUAAAAAUGAAAAAACGAAUAUAAAAUUUAAUAAUAAUAAUGUAAUAAAUAUAAAUACAUGUAUAAAUAAAAAUAUGGAUCUUAUGAAAAGUGAUAUUAUAUUAUACAUUGAUGGAAUUAGUACUACUCAUAUACAAAAAGAAUUCAACAAAUUACAAAUAAGUAAAGAAAGUUCUAACAAUAAUAAUCAUGAAAAUAAUAAUAAUCAGGACAUAAUAUAUUACAAUAAAGAAGAAUAUUAUAAAAAACAAGUUGAACAAUAUCAACAGAUUGGUAUUGAUCAACAGUUUGGUGGUAAUAAUAACAAUAGUAUUAACAAAGACACGGUAUAUAAAAAAACAGACGAUAACAUUAAUAAUACAUUAAAUUGUAAUAUUAGUUUGAAUGAAAAUGUAAAUGUUAAUGAUAAUACAACAGAACAUAUAUCUAAAAAAAAAUAUAACAAAUCUUAAUUUAUAUUUUUACACACAACAUAAGAGUGAGUUGAAUAACAUUAAUACUAAUGUGAAUAAUGACAGCUGUAUUAACAAAUCAGUAGAUUAUAAAAAUGAAAGUGUAAUGGGAACAAAAGAAGUGGCAGAAACAGUAACAGAAACAAAAGCAGUAACAGAAACAAAAGCAGUAACAGAANNNNNNNNNNGCAGUAACAGAAACAAAAGCAGUAACAGAAACAAAAGCAGUAACAGAUACAAAAGCAGUAACAGAAACAAAAGCA